CGUAGGUGGCAAGCGUUGUCCGGAUUUAUGGGUUUAAAGGGUGCGUAGGUGGCCCUGUAAGUCAGUGGUGAAAUAUCUCAGCUUAACUGAGAGGGUGCCAUUGAUACUGCAGGGCUUGAGUACAGAUGAGGUAGGCGGAAUUGACGGUGUAGCGGUGAAAUGCAUAGAUAUCGUCAAGAACACCGAUAGCGAAGGCAGCUUACCAAGCUGUAACUGACACUGAGGCACGAAGGUGUGGGGAUCAAACAGGAUUAGAUACCCUGGUAGUCCACACUGUAAACGUUGAUGACUCGAUGUUGGCGAUACACAGCCAGCGUCCAAGAGCAAUCGUUAAGUCAUCCACCUGGGGAGUACGCCGGCAACGGUG
Molecule: ribosomal RNA, 367 nt
Filed under: uncultured organism
Description: bacterial SSU rRNA
Rfam family: Bacterial small subunit ribosomal RNA
Source: RNAcentral